ACUUCGUAUGCGUUCUAAUUACGGCCGUGUGCCACCGCACCCGCACAGACCCGCACCCGUCGCCGCCAGCCUCCCCCUCUUCGCGUCCAACGGCGGCGCCGCUGCCCUCGGGCCUUGGCCUUUCUUCCGCCGUCCGCCGCUCGCUUCCCUCACUGCCCCUGCACGAUUAUCCAUUGCCGGUCGCCGCUCCCCUAGGUCGCGUCGCCGUAUACGCUGUUCCGGCUUCCUCAACUCAAGCCCGAGGUCAGCCGGCCUACAACGACCUCGCCUUCCCCACGCGCGUCGACGCCGACAGCCGCCUCUACGCUGCAACCGACAAGAUGACCCGGAAUCCCAAGCGGAAGCUUCCAGCCUCGCCUGCACGUGGGUGAAAGGAUGACUUGUUCUUGUUGGUUUCUUCGUUAUACUUGGAAGCUGGAAUCAAGAAAUUGGAGCUAGCAUCAGAAAGCACGCGGAUUCAUGGCCUGUGUUACCCAUGGCAAUCUGAACAAGUCCUUGUUGGUUUCUUCUUUGUACUUGGGAGCUGGAAUCAAGAAAUUGGAGCUACCAUCAGACUGCAUGAGGAUUCAUCGCCUGGCUUACCCAUCGCAAUCUGAACAAGGUUCAUUUUUUCUUCAUGGAGAAUUGGAGCAUGGAGCAGAGCGUGUCAUUGCAACCAUCCUUGAUUUACCUAGGGUAGUUAUUUUAUUUCGUUUUCCUGGACGGCCAAAGAUUGGGUUUACUGUUAUGCUUCUUGGUGCAGUUGCAUUUGGUAUCAACUAUUUCUGUUUUGAGAUAUGUCGAGAGAUGUCACUACUUCGUGGUUCGUCAGUUGAUGUUUUGCUAGGGAAGACUGGUAUAUAUGUGCUGCAGCGUAGGUUGUGGAAAUUGGGAGCUCUCCUGCUUUGAUCUAGAGGAAAACUGGAUACCGGAUCAAAGUUGAGAGGACAGUUUUUUCCCUGAUACAAACUGUCGUGUUAUCAUUAUAGCCAAUUAAUUGAUUGAGAUUUUAUGAACGUGUCAGGCAAAUACCCAUAGCAGAUCUUAUGCCAAUGUUUAUGGUCUACUAUUACAUUAAAGUAUGUCUCUCACUCAUGAUCCUACUUCCCUGUUUCUAGCAGUUUAGACUUGAUGUUAUAUAGUCUUGGGUGGUUACAAUAUCUACCAAACUCCAACCAUACUUGGAAGUUACCUCACAUUUUCUCCUCAACCAAAAAACUCAGGGGUAAAAAAUAGUAUGUUUCCUUUCAUAGUCUGCAAUCCUCAUAUUAAUUAGCGGGACAAUUAUCAGAUGAUAAAAUUAUAUCAAAUACUUUUUAGUCUUUUGUUGUUCUUUUUCGUAUUAUAGUAUGGUUGGUUCUCCUCUGUUGAGGUAUAUUCUGAUGAUUGUUAUCAGGUACAGAGCCAUGAUAAUAUUUUUUUUUGUAUAUAUACUACACACACAAGAAUACUUUUGUAUAUGCACUGCACAUACAAAAUUAUUACAAUUGGUUUUUAGCACUAGAUCUUGUGUCUUUCCUUAACUGAUUGUAUAAAUCUUUUCACAUAGUUGAACACCAAUUCACCAUCACAGAGUUCCAUCCAGAUUUGAGUUGACUACUGUCUUUGGUGAUCAUAGAACAAAUUGGGAUAUUUCUCCUUUGUUCAUACUUUUCCUAUUUGUGAUAUGGCCAAGCUUGCCCGAGUUGCAAGCUCAUGGCUAAUAUCUAAAAUUCUUCCACCAUGUAUCUUUAAAUAGCAAGUCACUGUAAUGGUUUCUUUGUAAAAUGCACCACAGGUCCUAAAACUAUUCGAGGUGUGUCAAGUGAGUCCUAAUUUUAUCAAAGUGCAUAUUUGGAUCCUAAUUCUUUGUAAGUUGUUCAAACGUGGUCCUAUUUGAGCCCAAACCGCUGCUGACCGGCCAGGUGGCAAGUUGACUGCUGCCACGUCAGCCAAGGUCGUUGGGCGGUAGUUUUCCCGCCGUUCAUGUGGUCCCGAAGUGUGCAGAAACCCCCUUAUAAGAAUAGAGACCGCAGUUGGCAAAUUCUUUCUCAUUCUCUCUCUUUCUUCUUCCCAUCGCUUGAGCCGCCCGUGCUGCCGCCCCCCUUCAAAGCUCGCCGGAGGGGAAACCCUAGAAUCGCCCUCCGUGUCACCUCUGCUUCGGGCAGGCUAGGAAGAAUCGGGGGAAAGGACCGCGGAAUGAGUAAAAUUGAAAGGUUGGGCCUAUUUGCAAUUUCCAACGACCCGACAUUUAGCUAGUGUGGCAGUCAACUUGCCACCUGGCCGGGCAGCAGCGGCUCGGGCUCGAAUAGGACCACGCGUGAACAACUUACAAAGAAUUAGGAUCCAAAAAUAUGCACUUUGAAAGAAUUAGUUCUCACUUGGCACACCUCGAAUAGUUUUAGGACCUACAGUGUAUUUUACUCGCAAACUUAUGUAGUAUAGUAAUUUAUCGUAGAUAGAGAAAUCUUCAAGUUGAUUAUUUUUCUAUAUGCACAGAUUUCAGCUGCUCCAAAUGCCACCGCUAUAGGUCACACUGAUGCAUGAUACUAAAGAGAAUAAAAUCACCGGGAGGAGGGGAGGUCGAUGCCUGAUCAUACUAUGAAUUUGUUAGGUUUGGAGACGAUAAUGACGGAGCCGGAUGUCAUGACUGAAAUAAACGGUGUAUAUUGCUCCAGUCGACCAAUUCACAUAACAACUCCUAGAAGAAAUUCUGGAAACGAGGGAGCCGAGGGAGGUUCAAACAAGAGGACGAGAUAUUUGGAGAGAUUUCUCAACUCCGUAGCAUUUUCAAAGGAUGCUGAAUAUGCCCAAGGAAGUCUUGAGUCAUUAUUAGACUAGGAAUUGGUGUAUUAUCAUGUCAUCAUUGAAGAAGUUCUUUAAAAGUUUUGUUGAUGUCCCUUGAUUCAAGGUGGUGUCGUUCUGUGGAUUUUUCAGAGAAACAUGUGUAUUCUUUGUAGCAGUGUAUUCUGAAAAUGCUUAUUCUUUACAGAAAAAAAAGAACCGGCGCGGCAAGGCGCGCAAUUCCGUCUAGUAA
Molecule: long non-coding RNA, 2995 nt
Organism: Brachypodium distachyon (stiff brome)
Lineage: Eukaryota; Viridiplantae; Streptophyta; Magnoliopsida; Poales; Poaceae
Exons: 5
Source: RefSeq, a predicted model, not a curated record